CCCUUAGAUGUCCUGGGCCGCACGCGCGCUACACUGAGUGUCUGAGAUACGAGUCUGCCUGGUCCGGCAAGGUCUAGGUAAUCGCUAAAAGACACAUCAUGCUUGGGAUAGAUUAUUGCAAAUAUUAAUCUUGAACGAGGAAUUCCUAGUAAGCGCAAGUCAACAGCUUGCGUUUAUUACGUCCCUGCCCUUUGUACACACCGCCCGUCGCUACUACUGAUUGGAUGUUUAAGCGAGGUCCUCGAACUGCUAGCGACUUAGCUUCGGUGAGGUCGCAGUGUGGGAAGUGAACCUAGCUUUGGUGUCUAGAGGAAGUAAAAGUCGUAACA
This 329-nucleotide ribosomal RNA is filed under the name uncultured eukaryote. Its description in RNAcentral is "partial 18S ribosomal RNA". It matches the Rfam family "Eukaryotic small subunit ribosomal RNA", at positions 1470 to 1796 of the family's 1831-position model. The record is from RNAcentral.